CCUACGGGUGGCUGCAGUGAGGAAUAUUGGACAAUGGGUGGAAGCCUGAUCCAGCCAUCCCGCGUGUAGGAUGACGGCCUUAUGGGUUGUAAACUACUUUUAUCUGGGGAUAAACCUACUUACGUGUAAGUAGCUGAAGGUACCAGAAGAAUAAGCACCGGCUAACUCCGUGCCAGCAGCCGCGGUAAUACGGAGGGUGCAAGCGUUAUCCGGAUUUAUUGGGUUUAAAGGGUCCGUAGGCGGAUUAAUCAGUCAGUGGUGAAAUCUCAUAGCUU
Molecule: ribosomal RNA, 275 nt
Filed under: uncultured bacterium
Lineage: Bacteria
Description: partial 16S ribosomal RNA
Rfam family: Bacterial small subunit ribosomal RNA
Source: RNAcentral